CUUUGGGCUUUCUGGCUGAUGUGAAGGAAGAAGCUGGUUUAUAUCUGGAACUUGGGAUAAUCAAGUUGGAGGUGACCUGGAUGAUUUGAAGGCAGAAAGAAGGACAAUAGUCCAUAUAUCUCUCUGACUGACUGUUUCAUGCUAGUGACUAAUUUGCCAUUUCUCUCAAUAUCCUCCAACCUAAGACUCACUGUAGACUAUAGAGAAACCUCCAACCCUCUUACCUCCAUUCUCCACCCUUGACCUGUUUUCCCCAAUAAGCCCUUACUUGAGAUAAAGACAAGAAAAGAGUUAUUACCUCUGAAACUUCGCAGCUCACCCUGAGUAACUUAGAAGGAGGAUGAAGAAGAAAGGAGAAAGGGAAACUGUAGGGAAGAAGAGAGGAGGAAGGGAGAUGGGAAGGGGAAGGAAGGGAGGUAUAAAAAAAGGAGGGUAGGCAAAAGAAAGAUAACUAACUACCUGAUCCAUUAGUUAUCUAGUAUACCAUCAAAAUAUACCCUCCAAAUACCAUCUAUUACAAUACUCUUUCCACUAUACAUCUAGUUUCCCCUUGAUUCAUUUCCAAUCACCUUAACCCACUCCCUUCUUUGUCAUGAGAUCAAGGAACAAACCAGGAGAUACUGCUCACCCAUAUCUUUGGGAAGGACCCAGAGUCCAUCUCCCCAGAAGAGACCUAAGCACAUGACCAAGUGUCACACAGAAAUGUGCCAAUCCAACCCGUCUCUAUCCCCACCAACAAUCUUACAAGAUUAUUGAGAUUUGAGGAGGGAGAAUUGAAGAGGGAUUUCUAUUCAUCCACCAUGAUUUCUAUUCUCCAAACUUUGUGUCAACUGUAAAUUUAAUAAAUAUGCCAUUUAUACCUCUAUCA
RNAcentral lists this long non-coding RNA (868 nucleotides) under Monodelphis domestica (gray short-tailed opossum). RNAcentral's name for it is "lncRNA (ENSMODG00000032328.2)". The record is from RNAcentral. Lineage: Eukaryota; Metazoa; Chordata; Mammalia; Didelphimorphia; Didelphidae.